AGUCACUGACAUUAGAUACCCCGGUAGUCCAGGGUGUAAACGCUGCAGACUUGGUGUUGGGGCCCUUUGGGGCAUUCAGUGCCGGAGAGAAGUUGUUAAGUCUGCUACUUGGGGAGUACGUCCGCAAGGAUGAAACUUAAAGGAAUUGGCGGGGGAGCACCGCAACGGGAGGAGCGUGCGGUUUAAUUGGAUUCAACACCGUAAAACUCACCAGGGAAGACUGUUACAUGAAAGCCGAGAUGAAGACUCUGCUAGAUUUUCAG
RNAcentral lists this ribosomal RNA (263 nucleotides) under uncultured archaeon. RNAcentral's name for it is "partial 16S ribosomal RNA". It matches the Rfam family "Archaeal small subunit ribosomal RNA", at positions 718 to 982 of the family's 1478-position model. The record is from RNAcentral.